This 207-nucleotide small nuclear RNA is filed under the name Canis lupus familiaris (dog). RNAcentral's name for it is "U2 spliceosomal RNA (ENSCAFG00845006408.1)". It matches the Rfam family "U2 spliceosomal RNA". Rfam says of the family: U2 is a small nuclear RNA (snRNA) component of the spliceosome (involved in pre-mRNA splicing). Complementary binding between U2 snRNA (in an area lying towards the 5' end but 3' to hairpin I) and the branchpoint sequence (BPS) of the intron results the bulging out of an unpaired adenosine, on the BPS, which initiates a nucleophilic attack at the intronic 5' splice site, thus starting the first of two transesterification reactions that mediate splicing. Lineage: Eukaryota; Metazoa; Chordata; Mammalia; Carnivora; Canidae. The record is from Rfam by way of RNAcentral.
AUUUCUUCUUCUUUUUUUUUUUUUUUAGUUCCCAAGAAAUUCAGUAUAUAAAUGUUAGUAGAGAUAUGGCUAAAAGAAAAGGAUCAAGAGAGAUUAAGAUUUAAGGAGAAAGGGAUUUUUGGAAUUAGGAGAUGGAGUAGAAGCUCGCUCCAUCCAUUCCACACAUCGACCUGGUAUUGCAGUAUUUCCAGGAACGGUGCACCCCCA